This is a long non-coding RNA of Prinia subflava (tawny-flanked prinia), 497 nucleotides long. RefSeq lists it as uncharacterized. Lineage: Eukaryota; Metazoa; Chordata; Aves; Passeriformes; Cisticolidae. The transcript is spliced from 2 exons. The record is from RefSeq and is a predicted model, not a curated record.
GGGUGCUUUAAAUGGCUACGGAAGAUUAAGGUCAGUCUGUGGAAGCAGUUCUGUGUGUUUCUGCUUGAAGAGAGUCAGAAACAUCCAGCAUGGUCUCAUGUGGCACUGUUUUUUCCUUUGGAGAUAUAUUAGGAAAGUCAGCAAUCAAUGUUGGAGAUGAAGGAGGAGGAAGACGAGGAGGAGGAGGAAGAUGAGGAGGAGGAGAAGGAGGAGGUGCUUUAGGCAGCAGAAAAAAGAUUCUUCUGAAGACUGUCAAAGACACCACAGUGGAGCAGAUAAUCCUCACAGCUGAUGGAAAGGACCAUGUUGGAGCAGAUUUCCAUGCUGCAGCUCAUGGAGGAUGCCCUGCCCCCUUUCACCACCCCAGGGAAUAAGGGGAAGGAUAUGGAGAAACUGGGACUGAAGGACGGAAAUUGUGACUGAAGGGAGAAUAAAAGGGGGAUGGUGGUGUUUAAUUUUUUGUCAGUUUCCUGCAAUAAAUUAAUCUUCUCUGUUGA